UAUCAAGCUGUUUAUUUUUUUCCUGCAUGGAAUGGUGAACACAAAGAAAGAGGCCUAGAUGCACUUAUAAUAGGGGCAUCCUUUGGCUGUCUAUGUUAUUGUCUUCUGCCUAAACUCAUUUUUAAAUGCAAAAAACACUCUUUUUCCUUAGCAACAUCCUCAGAGUUACCUGCUGCGGAUUUAGCUUUAUCAACACUGAUGCAACAAAUAACCUUCAAAACAUACAGCAUACUUGUCACAUCCAUUUACAAUAGGGUUUUCACCUCAUGUCCCUAUACUUUUCAAGUACAGGGAUAUUCCAUACCACUGAAAAAAGAGAAAAUUCUUUAAAUACAUACAAAAAAGGAAAGCAAAACAAAAAAAGAAGAACAGGAAAGUUUUCAACUUAAAUCCAGUUCCCCAAGAACAAACAAAGAAAACAAAAAAAACAAUUCUAUUAAUGUGGCCUUAAUACAAACAAUCAGAAAAUUCACAACACUAUUUUUUUCCUCAUUUAAUCAAUGUUACAAAAAUCUUGCAUUAUAAAAUAGGGCAGCUUUUAAAAUCAGUGUAAUUAAUAAAACUAUACAACACACAAACAACACAUCUCCCACGGUCAGGUCAGGUGCCUUGCCCUGUUGGCCUCCCUGUUCUUCUCGACUCAGGUACACACUUCUUUGUUUGUCUGUCGUCUCUUUCCAUGCUCUCCGCUAUUCCUAUUUCCCAAACUAAAAUAACACACACAAACACAAGAACAAAAAUGGACUGCCCAAACUAUUGCUUUUAUAUUCCUUUUCUUUUGUCUUUCUUUAAAAAGGGUGCAAUUUUGUCAUAUCUUACACACACACACAGCCAAAUCUUACUGAUUAGAUGAUAGGCUGCUUUUGCGACACAAAAAUGUCCGUGCAAUUAUUUUUCCCUUCGCACUUUUAGGCCAUUAAGGCCGUUUAUUUUUCACAAUUGUCAUUUAGUUUUUAUUUAGUGCAGAUAAUUAAGAAAGUAAUGCCCAACUCAUGUCUAAAGGGUAGGCAAGAAUAACAAAACAAAACUGUCACACUAGAAAAAAAGCACAACCCACGCAUGUGUAACUGUUAAACCAUCACAUCAGACAUCUGGGGAAAACUUCCCCAUAUUCAAAAUGAUUUUUUUGUAAAUGAUAUACGUUGUAGACAGGAAACAGGUAAACAAUUAAUAUAGCCUGGAAGUUUGUUAAAAAUGUACAUAAAUGUGGGCGAUCACUUCCUCCUGGACGUUAUUAGUUUGCUUUGAAAGUGUGUUAUUUUUGUGAUGAAGAGGAAGUCUCCUUGUUUAAGGCUCACAUGUGACUAAAAGGUAAUUGAAAAAAAAAAUCAUUGAUGGUCAGCUUUACCAUUAGGUAUAAAGGAAAGUGGAUAUCCAUAAAGGCUGAAUGGACACGGCCACGUCAGGCUCUGCCAUGAUGGGACUGAGGGUGGGAUGGUGUAUCAGACAAGCUGACAGCUGCCUCGGCAGCCAGUCAAGUGCA
Long non-coding RNA from Clupea harengus (Atlantic herring), 1483 nucleotides. The record is from Ensembl. NCBI's taxonomy places the organism in Eukaryota, Metazoa, Chordata, Actinopteri, Clupeiformes, Clupeidae.